UCCUCUUUACAGAGGCAGUUCGUUCCGAGUCCCCGACUUUACUCGCUGGUAACAGAACGUGAGGGUUGCGCUCGUUGCGGGACUUAACCCAACAUUUCACAACACGAGCUGACGACAGCCAUGCACCACCUGUGUACCUCCCUCGAAGGAAACUCCAUUUCCGGAGUGCGCAGGUACAUGUCAAGCCCUGGUAAGGUUCUUCGCGUUGCAUCGAAUUAAGCCACAUGCUCCACCGCUUGUGCGGGCCCCCGCCAAUUCCUUUGAGUUUCAACCUUGCGGCCGUAGUCCCCAGGCGGUUCACUUAAUGCGUUAGCUGCGGCACCGAGGGUUACCCCCCAACACCUAGUGAACAUCGUUUAUGGCCAAGACUAC
Molecule: unclassified non-coding RNA, 372 nt
Filed under: uncultured bacterium
Lineage: Bacteria
Description: contains 16S-23S intergenic spacer region
Source: RNAcentral